UCCGUAGGUGAACCUGCGGAGGGAUCAUUACAAGAACGCCCGGGCUUCGGCCUGGUUAUUCAUAACCCUUUGUUGUCCGACUCUGUUGCCUCCGGGGCGACCCUGCCUUCGGGCGGGGGCUCCGGGUGGACACUUCAAACUCUUGCGUAACUUUGCAGUCUGAGUAAACUUAAUUAAUAAAUUAAAACUUUUAACAACGGAUCUCUUGGUUCUGGCAUCGAUGAAGAACGCAGCGAAAUGCGAUAAGUAAUGUGAAUUGCAGAAUUCAGUGAAUCAUCGAAUCUUUGAACGCACAUUGCGCCCCCUGGUAUUCCGGGGGGCAUGCCUGUUCGAGCGUCAUUUCACCACUCAAGCCUCGCUUGGUAUUGGGCAUCGCGGUCCGCCGCGUGCCUCAAAUCGACCGGCUGGGUCUUCUGUCCCCUAAGCGUUGUGGAAACUAUUCGCUAAAGGGUGUUCGGGAGGCUACGCCGUAAAACAACCCCAUUUCUAAGGUUGACCUCGGAUCAGGUAGGGAUACCCGCUGAACUUAAGCAUAUCAAUAAGCGGAGGA
RNAcentral lists this ribosomal RNA (550 nucleotides) under uncultured Capnodiales. RNAcentral describes it as "eukaryotic LSU rRNA". The stretch from base 186 to 339 matches the Rfam family "5.8S ribosomal RNA". The record is from RNAcentral. Lineage: Eukaryota; Fungi; Ascomycota; Dothideomycetes; Capnodiales.